CCGGCGACCGGCGCACGGGUGAGUAACACGUAUGCAACCUGGCCGUCACAGGUGGAUAACCGGAAGAAAUUCCGACUAAUACAGCAUAACACUCCUGAGGGGACAUCCCUUGGGAGUCAAAGGAGGCAACUCCGGUGACGGAUGGGCAUGCGGCGCAUUAGGUAGUUGGUAGGGUAACGGCCUACCAAGCCGACGAUGCGUAGGGGUUCUGAGAGGAAGGUCCCCCACAUUGGAACUGAGACACGGUCCAAACUCCUACGGAAGGCAGCAG
RNAcentral lists this ribosomal RNA (271 nucleotides) under uncultured bacterium. RNAcentral's name for it is "partial 16S ribosomal RNA". It matches the Rfam family "Bacterial small subunit ribosomal RNA", at positions 88 to 354 of the family's 1533-position model. The record is from RNAcentral.